AUGGAGGCUGCCAUAUCCGUAGUCACGGGUGAACUAGUGAGUCGUUUCAUCUCCUUCCUCAAAAACAAGUACAACUCCUCCUUGAGCCAUGCACAAUCAGAGAAGAUGGAGGAGAGAUUGCAGCACCUCCUGAUGAGAGUCAGCAUAGUCAUCGAGGAGGCAGAUGUGCGGUACAUAACCAACUCUGGGAUGUUGUUGCAGCUCAAGAUGCUCUCAGAGGCCAUGUACAAAGGAUACCGCGUGCUGGACACCCUGAGGUUCCAAAACCACCAAGAGAGUGCAUGCUUUGACGAGGUUAGAAUCAACGACUCAUCUAGCAACAACUUGUAUUUAUCCAUUCCAUUCAAGCGUUCUCAGACAAAAACUGAGAUGGAUGACAAGGCCAUUCGCCUCGAGUCAGAUGGUGCCUUGGAAAGCUUAGAAAUUGUUGUUGCUAACAUGACAGAAUUUGUUGUGUUUCUGGGUGGAUGUGAGCGCAUGUCUCGUAGGCCAUAUGACGUUUAUCUUUACACCAACAACUUCAUGUUCAGCCGACAUGCUGAAAAGCAAAAGCUCUUGAGCUUCUUGUUGGAGCACACCGAUCUUCAUGCACCUGCAGUUCUUCCAAUCAUAGGUGGUGUUGGAGUUGGGAAGAAAACAUUGGUUGCUCAUGUGUGUGCAGACGAAAGGGUUCGCCCACAAUUCUCCUCUAUUAUGCACUUGAAUGGAGACAACCUCUUGAUGGUACUUGACAAUGGAUGGACCAUGUUUGGGAUGAUCUUGGUAGUUAUAGAGUUUGCUUCCGAUAUAGGCGACGAUGACUGGAAAAAGUUUCACUUGUUUCUCGUAAGAAUGAACAGAGGAAGCAAGAUCAUCAUCAUAAGUAAACUUAAAAGAUUAGCCCGGUUUGGAUCGGUGCAGCCUAUUUUCUUAAGUGUUUUGUUUAUGACGAGUUUAGGUAUCUUUUUAAGACCCUAG
RNAcentral lists this ribosomal RNA (957 nucleotides) under Triticum aestivum (bread wheat). RNAcentral describes it as "partial small subunit ribosomal RNA". The record is from RNAcentral. Lineage: Eukaryota; Viridiplantae; Streptophyta; Magnoliopsida; Poales; Poaceae.